UCCGGCUUAUCACCGGCGGUUUCUUUAGAGUGCCCAACUAAAUGAUGGCAACUAAAGACGAGGGUUGCGCUCGUUGCGGGACUUAACCCAACAUCUCACGACACGAGCUGACGACAGCCAUGCACCACCUGUGAACCUGCCCGUGAGGGAAACCGUGUUUCCACGGCGAUCAGGUACAUGUCAAGCCCAGGUAAGGUUCUUCGCGUUUCGUCGAAUUAAACCACAUGCUCCGCUGCUUGUGCGGGUCCCCGUCAAUUCCUUUGAGUUUUAGCCUUGCGGCCGUACUCCCCAGGCGGGGCACUUAAUGCGUUAGCUCCGGCACGGGAGGAGUCGACACCUCCCACACCUAGUGCCCAUCGUUUACGGCGUGGACUAC
This 376-nucleotide unclassified non-coding RNA is filed under the name uncultured Solirubrobacterales bacterium. RNAcentral describes it as "contains 16S-23S intergenic spacer region". The record is from RNAcentral. Lineage: Bacteria; Bacillati; Actinomycetota; Thermoleophilia; Solirubrobacterales.